UACGUAGGGGGCAAGCGUUGUCCGGAAUCAUUGGGCGUAAAGAGCGCGUAGGCGGCCCGAUAAGUCCGCUGUGAAAGUCAAGGGCUCAACCCUUGAAUGCCGGUGGAUACUGUCGGGCUAGAGUCCGGAAGAGGCGAGUGGAAUUCCUGGUGUAGCGGCGAAAUGCGCAGAUAUCGGGAGGAACACCGGUGGCGAAGGCGGCGACCUGGGUAGAUACUGACGCUGAGGUGCGAAAGCGUGGGGAGCAAACAGG
This 253-nucleotide ribosomal RNA is filed under the name uncultured bacterium. RNAcentral's name for it is "partial 16S ribosomal RNA". It matches the Rfam family "Bacterial small subunit ribosomal RNA", at positions 524 to 776 of the family's 1533-position model. The record is from RNAcentral.